AGUGAACGCUGGCGGUAGGCCUAACACAUGCAAGUCGAACGGCAGCACAGUAAGAGCUUGCUCUUACGGGUGGCGAGUGGCGGACGGGUGAGGAAUACAUCGGAAUCUACUUUUUCGAGGGGGAUAACGUAGGGAAACUUACGCUAAUACCGCAUACGACCUACGGGUGAAAGCAGGGGAUCUUCGGACCUUGCGCGAUUGAAUGAGCCGAUGUCGGACUAGCGAGUUGGCGGGGUAAAGGCCCACCAAGGCGACGAUCCGUAGCUGGUCUGAGAGGAUGAUCAGCCACACUGGAACUGAGACACGGUCCAGACUCCUACGGGAGGCAGCAGUGGGGAAUAUUGGACAAUGGGCGCAAGCCUGAUCCAGCCAUACCGCGUGGGUGAAGAAGGCCUUCGGGUUGUAAAGCCCUUUUGUUGGGAAAGAAAAGCAGCAGGUUAAUACCCCGCUGUUCUGACGGUACCCAAAGAAUAAGCACCGGCUAACUUCGUG
This 492-nucleotide ribosomal RNA is filed under the name uncultured bacterium. RNAcentral describes it as "partial 16S ribosomal RNA". It matches the Rfam family "Bacterial small subunit ribosomal RNA", at positions 29 to 507 of the family's 1533-position model. The record is from RNAcentral.